This 72-nucleotide transfer RNA is filed under the name Pseudomonadota bacterium. Its description in RNAcentral is "tRNA-Gly". It matches the Rfam family "tRNA". Rfam says of the family: Transfer RNA (tRNA) molecules are approximately 80 nucleotides in length. Their secondary structure includes four short double-helical elements and three loops (D, anti-codon, and T loops). Lineage: Bacteria; Pseudomonadati; Pseudomonadota. The record is from RNAcentral. RNAcentral also lists the same sequence under 2 other names.
GCGGGUGUAGUUCAGUGGUAGAACGCAUGCUUCCCAAGCCUGAUGUCAGGGGUUCGAAUCCCCUCACCCGCU